GUGCCAGCAGCCGCCGCGGUAAUACGGGGGGUGCAAGCGUUGUUCGGAAUUAUUGGGCGUAAAGAGCGUGUAGGCGGCUGAAUAAGUCAGAUGUGAAAUCCCUGGGCUUAACCCAGGAAGUGCAUUUGAAACUAUUCAGCUUGAGUAGGGGAGAGGAAAGUGGAAUUCCUGGUGUAGAGGUGAAAUUCGUAGAUAUCAGGAGGAACACCGGUGGCGAAGGCGACUUUCUGGCCCUAUACUGACGCUGAGACGCGAGAGCGUGGGUAGCAAACAGGAUUAGAUACCCUGGUAGUCCACGCUG
RNAcentral lists this ribosomal RNA (301 nucleotides) under uncultured bacterium. RNAcentral's name for it is "bacterial SSU rRNA". It matches the Rfam family "Bacterial small subunit ribosomal RNA", at positions 505 to 802 of the family's 1533-position model. The record is from RNAcentral.